This 253-nucleotide ribosomal RNA is filed under the name uncultured bacterium. RNAcentral describes it as "partial 16S ribosomal RNA". It matches the Rfam family "Bacterial small subunit ribosomal RNA", at positions 524 to 776 of the family's 1533-position model. The record is from RNAcentral.
GACGUAGGGCGCGAGCGUUGUCCGGAUUUAUUGGGCGUAAAGAGCUCGUAGGCGGCUCGUUGCGUCGGCUGUGAAAACCCGCAGCUCAACUGUGGGCUUGCAGCUGAUACGGGCGGGCUGGAGUUCGGUAGGGGAGACUGGAAUUCCUGGUGUAGCGGUGAAAUGCGUAGAUAUCAAGAGGAAUACCAACAGCGUAGGCAGCUCUCUGGAAGAUUCCUGACUCUGAGGCACGAAGGCCAGGGGAGCAAACGGG